AUGUUACGACCGACCCCCCACUGUUACGACAUCAGAAGUGGGAUUAGUGGACUUGGAUGAAGACAACGUGAUGUGACGUUCACAACAAGACAAUGCAAGUUUCGAUUAUCACAAUCAGAAGAAGAUUAUGAUGAUUAUCACAUUCGUGUGACCACGUGAUGAAGAUGUAGUGUCAUGCCUGAAUUUGGAGAUGGACCUGAAUUUGAAGUGACCUGGACCUUGUUAAUGAUCGACAUCACUACAUGCCGUAAGAUAUGAUGGCGUGAACAUCACAAUAUGUCCAUACUGUGUGCAGUCGUGUUUGAAAAUUAUGGAACCUGAAAUUGAAAACUGUUAUUACGGUGAGUCGUUUUCAUACUGGAACCUUAUUGUUGUUGACUUUAUUGCUAUGUGAAUUUCCGUUUCUAAUAAUGAGGAAAUUGUUUUUUAAAAAAAACAAAAUUGACGAGACACAUUGUGUCAAUCCGUGUCAAUCACACCGCGUUUUCCAAUCUGUUUUCAUCAUCGUAAAAUCUUUGUAUUUUGGUCUAAAAAUAUUUCGAAUUGGUGUAGACACGCUUGACCUGCGUGGUUAAAGUUGUAUUUUCUCACUCCAAGCAAAAAGAAAUUAAUCAUGACAUGAUAAUUGAGUCUCGUUAAAUAACGUGUUUUGUAAUCUACCGUCAUUCAUCAAAUGUUUCAAUAUUCAACAUUCUUUAAUAAUCUUUUUAAACCGAUUGAAAGAAAGUCAUGUGAAUACAAUAACACAGUGAAUUCUUUUGUUUCAUGUCAUAACUUGGUUCGGCAAUUGGUGGAUUGCAAGCGGCGAUGUAAGUGGCGCGGGCUGAGCUGUAGUCGUGUAAAGUGACGACAUCAUGGCAGCGAGUUGUAUACCAGCCGGACUUGCUGCGCUGGUGAAGACCUAAACCAUGUCACAAGACCAGUGGUUGAUCUUUUAUUGGAAAUUCUUAUAAGUCCCGGUGAGUCGUAUUUGUUUUACCUGACUUGAAAGAUGGAAAGUUUUAAUAGGAUACAAACGAAUAUAGUGCAGAAAGUUCUCUUUUGUUAACUUUAGUUAAAUUGGGAAUCGUAAUGAAGUGAAGUAAACAUUCUGAAGUAAAAUGAUUUGGAUUAUGAUUACUUAAAUGAAAUAGGCUUAGAAAAUGCCCGAAACAGAGUAAAUCAUUAGUGAGAAAAUUGGAGCAAAACAUUCUAAAUGAUGUUCAUACCAAAUCAGUAAUUGUGUAAGUGCGGUAAUAUUUCCUCAAGGUGUUGGUCGUUACAUUGUGACUUUAUGACUUGUGUGUGAGAGAGCCAGGGUGCUCUGUCGUUUUGUGGUCGUGGACCAAGGUGGCCAUCCCGGGAGGGGAUGUUGUGACUUAUGACUGUUUUGUAGCGUAACCGCAGUUUGGGGAGGAAUAUUACAGUCUGUUGUGCUUUGCAGUAGAUGUGUAAUGUUGGUUGAUUUAAUUGAGCAAUGAAAGCUAUGAUUGACCUGUUUCGGAGCAACUCUGAUAGGAAGCUGCGCACUUGUAGUGUUCGGGGCUGCAGCCACUUUUGUGCUGCUCGUCUUAGAAACUACAGGUAUGCGGUCGAGGCCUGGAUGUCAUGUUGACUUUGUAUUUGGUCAUGACAUUGUACCUGAAUCUAAGUCAAGUUGACCUCCGGUAGAAUUAGUCGAACUGCGCAAAUUAGAAAUUAGUGAUAUAAAAGAAAUUGUGUAACGCAUUGACCACUAUUCUACCAACUAAAAUGUAAAGUUUGUGUGCUAGCUGUGUUGAGAUAUCGUCACUUGGUGUAAGUGGCAUGAGUUGCUGUCGCUCGAUUUAGGUGGCAGUGACGACUGUGUUGGGAUAUCGUCACUUGGUGUAAGUGGCAUGAGUUGCUGUCGCUCGAUUUAGGUGGCAGCAACGACUGUGUUGAGAUAUCGUCACUUGGUGUAAGUGGCAUGAGUUGCUGUCGCUCGAUUUAGGUGGCAGUAACGACUGUGUUGAGAUAUCGUCACUUGGUGUAAGUGGCAUGAGUUGCUACCGCUCGAUUUAGGUGGUAGUGACGCCUGGUUGUGAGAUAUCGUCACUUGGUGUAAGUGGCAUGAGU
This 2076-nucleotide long non-coding RNA is filed under the name Pectinophora gossypiella (pink bollworm). Its description in RNAcentral is "uncharacterized LOC126381485". Lineage: Eukaryota; Metazoa; Arthropoda; Insecta; Lepidoptera; Gelechiidae. The record is from RNAcentral.